Long non-coding RNA from Oncorhynchus keta (chum salmon), 1195 nucleotides. RefSeq lists it as uncharacterized. Lineage: Eukaryota; Metazoa; Chordata; Actinopteri; Salmoniformes; Salmonidae. The transcript has 5 exons. The record is from RefSeq and is a predicted model, not a curated record.
CUGCUCUGUUGCCGUGGCCAGUCGCACACUUGGCGGGGUCAUUUCUGGAACGCUUCAGGCCUUCUCGAGAGGAGCUCCCAGUAGAUAUCCCUGGAUUUAGGGGAGACACAUGUCUGGGCUAUAAUGAGGUAAAUAUAUCACAGUAGAUAUCCCUGGAUGUAGGGGCGACAGAUGUCUGGGCUAUAAUGAGGUAAAUAUAUCACAGUAGAUAUCCCUGGAUGUAGGGGCGACAGAUGUCUGGGCUAUAAUGAGGUAAAUAUAUCACAGUAGAUAUCCCUGGAUGUAGGGGCGACAGAUGUCUGGGCUAUAAUGAGGUAAAUAUAUCACAGUAGAUAUCCCUGGAUGUAGGGGCGACAGAUGUCUGGGCUAUAAUGAGGUAAAUAUAUCACAGUAGAUAUCCCUGGAUGUAGGGGCGACAGAUGUCUGGGCUAUAAUGAGGUAAAUAUAUCACAGUAGAUAUCCCUGGAUGUAGGGGCGACAGAUGUCUGGGCUAUAAUGAGGUAAAUAUAUCACAGUAGAUAUCCCUGGAUGUAGGGGCGACAGAUGUCUGGGCUAUAAUGAGGUAAAUAUAUUACAGUAGAUAUCCCUGGAUGUAGGGGCGACACAUGUCUGGGCUAUAAUGACGUAAAUAUAUCACAGUAGAUAUCCGUGGAUGUAGGGGUGACAGAUGUCUGGGUUAUAAUGACAUCGAUAUAUUACAACAAAAAGGAAGGUAUUUGGACAUAAAUCAUGGACAUCGAACAAAACAAACAUUUAUUGUAGAACUGGGACUCCUGGGAGUGCAUUCUGAUGAAGAUCCAAGGUAAGUGAAUAUUUAUAAUGUUAUUUCUGACUUCUGUUGACCCAACAACAUGGCGGGUACCUGUAUGGCUUGUUUUUGUGUCUGAGUGCCGUACUCAGAUUAUUGCAUGGUGUGCUUUUUCAGUAAAGUUUUUUUUUAUUUUUUAUAAAUCUGACACAUAAGAAUAAGAAGGACUUGUAAGUAAGCAUUUUACGGUAAGGUUUCCGCAUGUGACAAAUAAAGUUUGAUUUUAUAUAUUACAGUAGAUAGGGGUAACAAAUUACGUCUGGGUUAUGACGAUGUAGCACAGGGCAGAUAUAUUACAGUGCCAACAGACUAGCACUCCAGGAAUACGCUUCAUCUGGGUCUGGGAAACUGUGUCAACCACUAGCCCAGAUUAGCAUCUAGACAAAG